GAUCUCCUUGUCAAGCACAAAACAUGUUCAUACAUCAUUCUGCCCAUUCAUUGCAUAUGCGGUGGCGGCGCUGGUUGUACAUUGUAAUGUGCUCCAUGUGACGGUGGUGCACGUGCAUACUGCGAAACAAUAUCGACGCCAGCUCCUCCCUGAACCUGAUGCAUGCCAUAAGGGUCAGAGGGAUAUGAGCUCCCGCCGUAUCUUAU
RNAcentral lists this unclassified non-coding RNA (206 nucleotides) under Hevea brasiliensis (rubber tree). The record is from RNAcentral. Lineage: Eukaryota; Viridiplantae; Streptophyta; Magnoliopsida; Malpighiales; Euphorbiaceae.